Molecule: ribosomal RNA, 31 nt
Filed under: Boletus edulis
Lineage: Eukaryota; Fungi; Basidiomycota; Agaricomycetes; Boletales; Boletaceae
Description: partial 18S ribosomal RNA
Source: RNAcentral
AAGGUNCGUAGAGACCUGCGGAGGAUCAUUA